CAGAUGCAGGGUUGAAGUGCAACAAUGAGUUUCAUGAUGAUGCAGAAAAUCACAAAAACCAGGUAGCACAGGUGAACGGUGAUACGAGCAUAAAAAUCUGGUAGACACGGGAACGUGACUCGGAGAGGAACGACAAAGAUGACACACAAGGAUCCGGCAGAGAGCAGGGGACACAGAAAACCUGCUGGUGAAUUAUUCAACCAGUUGAAUGGCCUUGAUGAGACCCAGGCUGAGUUUCGGGAAAGUUUCGCCAUGUGUGAUGCAUGCAACCCAGCCCAUUUAGUUUGCAUGAGACAAUACGUAUGACGGCAUCUUUUACCGUUGACUGGCUCGGGUGGGAGCUUGACAAAAGUCACGACGGGGCUUGGAAAACGACGGCGAAUGAACACGGCGGAGACGCGACAGAAUGACUCGAAACCCCUUGAUUGCCUCAGAUUUGCAUAAUUUCUGACAGAGAGCAGGAGAGACGCCAGCUUCAGAAAAGGAGGCAAGGCAGUUGCUCAAGGGGACAGUCGCUUGGUUGAAUCGGGCAGGUGUCAUGAAGGAUGUGGAGGGGAACAGAAAGGGACGCCUGGCUAAAAGAUUUCUCUGCAUCUCGGC
Gambusia affinis (western mosquitofish) is the source of this 600-nucleotide long non-coding RNA. RefSeq lists it as uncharacterized. NCBI's taxonomy places the organism in Eukaryota, Metazoa, Chordata, Actinopteri, Cyprinodontiformes, Poeciliidae. The record is from RefSeq and is a predicted model, not a curated record. The transcript is spliced from 4 exons.